UGUGUGUCGUCCGAUUCUCGGAUACUUUUCACAUUUUCUUCAUACCUCGGCUGCGUCACUAACAUAGGGCGGUUUUUUGUUGACUGAUAUCCUGCACUAUAAACCCAUCAAAGUUUCUCAUUCACUUAAAAUAGGUGCCAAAUUAUCAGAGCCCACCCAGUAUUUCGCCGGCGGUAUGCCUGGGCAGCCACGCAUAUGAGUACCUCAAUGCUGUACUGAUUGCUUUGACCUAUCACCGGAACAGAAAAUUAGCACUAACAUACGUGCGGGCAUCACAUUUGGUGGUACGCUGGAAGAUAUGCUACAAGUACGCUGUAUUACUAAUCGACGCUGGCAAUAAUGCGUCUGAAACGUUUGAAGGGCCCUGUAAUGGCUUUUACAAACAGCGCAUUCAAGUUAGCGUUCCAGUCUCAUACGAUAGCCCACAGCGUUUGUCAUACAACCUGCCAGCGCAUUUCCUUCGUCCACGAAAAAAGAUGAAUAAUGGUGAUAAAGAUGAAUAAGCCACCCGUUCCGGCGCGCAUGGCGCGCAGAGAGAGAGCGAAAAAAAAAUGAAGGAGGAAAAGGCGCUCACACUCCUCCGAGCGCGCGCGCCCUCGCGCGCGGAGCUCCUGCGCAUGCUCGGAGAUCUUGCGCAUGCGCGGCGGUGCGCCAUCUCAACGAGUGCGCCGGGCACGUAAACGGUUGUACCGGUGUGCGGUGUCCGCCUGAACGUUGGUGUCUGUGUAUGCGUGUCAUCUUUGUGGCAUCACACGUCAACUACACUGAACGCAUACACCUGCAGCACCUUUGGGACUAAUGACACAAAGGUCAAGGCCAGCCUGGCGACCAUGCUUGCCAAGGAGUAGUGUAAAUAUUUAAUCUGUUUCCAUAAUAGCAUAAGACAAGAAUUUAAGGAAUUCAUGUAUUAUAUCGAGCAAUAAAAACGGUUAAUGCAUUGCC
Molecule: non-coding RNA, 942 nt
Organism: Dermacentor albipictus
Lineage: Eukaryota; Metazoa; Arthropoda; Arachnida; Ixodida; Ixodidae
Source: RefSeq, a predicted model, not a curated record